GAAGAACACCUGUUUUGUUCUCUUAGCUUGCACUUCAUUUUGUUUAAAGAAGAUGACAGGUAGGAAUAUGUGCAAUAUUAGGUAUAUUUCAGCUAAUUUUUUCACAAAAAAGAAGAGAAAAAUAAAAUGCAUGCAUCUUUUUUUGUAAAUUAAAAAGGGUUAUAUAUAAUCAAUUAUAUUGACUAAAGGGGUACUUAGUUUGAAAUUACUAAUCACCAUUUAUCGUACAGGACACUUAUGAGCCAAACGAAAACAUGUAUAGGCAGAACAUACAUCAUUUUUAGAUCAGCGAAAAUUUGAAAAAAUCGUUAUAUCUAUAGUCCAGAUACUCCUCAUCAGGCAUAUCAAAGAGUAAUGAAAUUUCAAUUCCCCUAGACUAUACAGAUAUCAUCUGUUGAAAAUAUUCUUCUUUUACUUGGUUUCCAAAGUUCUAACGGAGUAAGAUACAUGUUAGUUCUUUCAGACUGGGUGGAAAACAUGCUAGAAUUCAGUUAAAAAGUCUCAAGUAAUAUAGAACACAAAUCAAACGUUAUACUGUCUUUGUAUUAUUUUUAUCUAUCAUAUGUCACAAAGUUCUACUUGAAAGAUAAGUGAACAAUACUUUAUAACGUUGAAUUACAUGUGGUGUUCUGAUCAAUAGUAGUAAUGAUUCUAAACUAGAGGCAAAUAUUAAAUCGUCAUCACCUAUAUCACGUUUAAAUGUUACAGGAGAAUUAUUUUAAAACAAGAUAUCAUUAUAUUAAUCUAAACAGUAGUUAAACGAUGUUCAAUUUUCCAAAUCGAGUUUGUGAGAUCAGUAUGAUCUAUUAACAGUCUUGAUUAUGGUUAUGUGUUUCAUUUUGCAAUUACUUCUUGAAUAUUGUGUAAUAUAUGUAAAAAAAUCGGAUGUCUUAAGCAUUUAUUGUUUUAAAGUAAUACACAUUUCUGGUCUUACAUCCUGUCAAUACCUAUAUUUUUGCACUGUACACUAUCAAGUUUUAUCUUUACAAUCAAUCCGUUGAUUCUUUUUGACUUUUUUCAGAUUUUAUGUGGUUUCUUUGUAUAGUCGUCUGCUUUCUGUACCCAGUUGGUAAAUAUGUUUUACAUGUUUCAAUUAUAUUUUGUUGCAUUUUUUCAUGAAUUUGCAUUCGAGUAAGAUAGUAAAGCCAAUCUUUUUUAUAUUAUUGUCAAUAAAACGUUAUAUGGUACAGCUUGUUUUGCGUUCCUUUAAUAUUCCCGAACUUGUCAUAAUAGAAUAUGAAAAUCAAAGUCUUUUGGUACAUUCUUUCCACAUUUAUGAAACUACCUUCAUUCAAACGUGCGCACCAAUCAGUUGGAACACUAAUUCCAAGUAAUUUGAAUACCUGUGAAGCAAUAUGACAGAUCGGGAUCUAGCACAAAUAUCAACAUCAAUUUUAGGUCACCUUCUGCAGAUUGAUUUCGAAACUAAGUUUGUUAAUACUUCAAAAGCACCUUCCCGGAUGUAUCUUCACCAGGAACUCUCAAACGUAUCAGACAAAAAAAAUGAAGUAUGAAUAUAUUCCUAAAAUAAAUCUCGGCAUCAUAUCUUUUUAUAGAUGGCGGCACCACAUGUUUGUCAUGUAGCAGUGUAGAAAGUGUAAUAGACUGUACUCACUUGGAAAGAUGCGGGAAUAAUGAGGUACUUUUCACUUAUUUCUUAUCAUUGUUUCGUACAUGUUAAUAUUAAACUGUAUCAAUUAAGCCAUGCCGGAAAAAGACAAACACAAAUACAUAAUUAAAUUCACACAUUUCACUAGAAUUAUGAAAUAGCUGAUAACUGUUUGUAUGUUUUGAAGUUAUAUGUGUAAGCUUGAAAUAAAAAUACAUAUUGAUAUUAGGGCACCGUAAUAUUUUAAUAAUUAGCACCGUAAAUAUAUGCAUUUACAUUCAAUUUUAGACUCUCAUUUUUAUAUUCCAUUUUUAGAUUCGCAUCCGAUUCACAUUCAACAAUUAUAUAUCUCACAUUGAAUUCCAAUCUUAUAUGGUGUUUUGUGUGUACGACGUAUAUACCUUAUUUAGUCGCUAAUGUUUAAAUCUGAAAAGUUUUAUGAAAUAUUUACUCAUCAAAUUUACAUUCGAGUUCGAUAUUUGAGCAUGUAGCAUUUUAUCGUUUGUAUUGAUAACUUGAUGUAUAAGAUGUUCCUCGUUUAAUUAAAGGAAGUAAUAAAAAAAAGUGACAUAGUUUGGUCAUCAGGAAAAUGUAAACUGUACAAAAUAAAGACUCGUUGUACUUUAAAGCAUCUGUGUACUGAUUUUAGUUUUUGACACGUAUUAGGACUAUGCUUACAUUUUGUAACGUACGUUGUUUUAAACCUUGAGCGUAUUUAAAAUGAAAUUUAUAAUUUUCUUAAAAAAACACCAAACAAGAAUGUUUACGAUGUAACAUCAAAUACACGAUUACCUUUAUGUCUAUAAAUUAAAAUAUUUUACAUUAAUUUCAUUUCAAAACAGAUAGAAGUUACUGUCUGUUGGGAUUUUAUAACUAAGGAUGGCUCUAGAUCUGAUCAUUAUCUGUUUAUUUUAAUCUCAUUCAUGAGUUAUGCAUUGUUCUUCUUUCUAUAAUACAACAAAAGGUCGAAAAGAAUCAUGUUGCAGAUUUGUAGGCUUUGAUGAUGAUUGUGUUUUAUUUAGUCAGUUAACAUCGUGUGUAUCUUCUACUUGCAUUUUUGUAUGAGUAAUACCUUUCUGUUUCUUCUAGAUUUGCUUUGCACAUAAAUAUGUUACAGAAUCAAAAUCGGAAUUGUAUGACUUCGGAUGCACUUACCAAAAGGUAAAUAAGAUAAUUAAAAAACAGAUAAUUGUUGAAACUAGGAAUAUUUAGAAACACGUUAAACAUGUUAAAGAAAUAUAAUAUGAACUAUUUAUAAUGACUUUUUUUGUAAUCUGUUAGAACAAAUCGUAAGUAACUCUAAUGUCUCCGAAUGAUGCAUAAAUUCAUAGAAGGUAUGACUAGAAAGUCGCCCUCAUUUGCCGACGAAAAAAGUUCAAUAAAAUACGGCUAAAGUUGUUAUUCUGGUUACCUAAAGUCACUUCGAGUUAUGUUAUUGGAGAGUAAAACUAAUGCUGCAACUUAUGAUUACAAAAUCAUUUUUUAAAAGAAGCUUCAUUUGGCCAUAUCACUACACGAUCAAUGUAUGAUAUGGUAAAGCCGAGUGUUCACUCAUUGUUAUCAUUACACACGCAUGUGCGUUUCCUGGGAACAACACCUCGGAUACUUAAAUAAACAAUAGUUCUAUAGCAUAUAUCAAAGCGUUGUAAUUCAAUUUUAAACUUAUGUGUUUGCAUCUCCAUUUGAAAUCCGUCCCAUGUCUUUUAUCAAACCUUGUUAUUAAACAUUCCGUAUCGAUUUCAUAAAGACUGAAUGAUUGUAUUGGAGUACUGCUUCUAAAUGCUGACUUUGUUUUUCAUCUUACUUAUAUGUACGUGUUAAAGAGAUAUCUUUAUUUUUCCGUGUACAUUUUAAACUUUUACAGUUUAGUUUAUCUUAUGUUGUACACGUUUGGCGUGACUCGGUAUUUGUGCACCCCGCCCUUAUGUUAUUGUUUUUUUGUCAGUUUUGUAUUCUUGUCCUUCAUGUUUGCUAAUGUACUUUGUUAAUAAAGUGUCUAUAUGCCAUUUAAGACUAUUUUAGGUAGUAAUUUGUUUACAGUAAUUAAGAUUAGAACACAAUAUAGAUGACUGUUGUACCCUAUAUUUUGACAUUUUUCCUAUGAUUUAUGCUUACUUUGCUCUCACAAUGUUGACGUAUUAUGGAAUUCUAUCGACUGUCAUACAAGUGAGAAGUUUAGCUAGCUGUACAACUAGAGUACUGAUUUAAUUUAGGAAUCUGAAAGUUGUUUCUGCUAUUUUCUAUUCCUUUGGUGGUUCUGAGCUUUUGAUUUUGUCAAAAAACUUUUCGUUUGAGGUUACCUGUAUGUACAGAAUAUAAAUGAACUUGAAGGUAAAUAUUGCCUUUGAAUCAGUCUGAAUAUACCAUGGCAUGUAGUUUACUUUUGUGUUUUUAAUUCAUACAACUGCAGUUUCACUGUCCUUUUGUUAUUGGUACAAAACAAAAAAACAAAUGUAUUGAUGCUUUAAGGUAUUUUACAUUUUUCAAUAUUUUCUCUGAAAAAAAACCAUGCUAAUUAUUUAUGGUAAAGGUUAAAUUUUAUUAAAUUUUUAAAUAAAAUAUAAGAUUAUGUGUUUAUAGACAUUCGUGUUGUAAUCAAAAUUAAUGAUAACAUUAUGUAUUAACAUUUUGAACACAUCGACCUCUAGUCAAAAUAUUUGAAUAAUGAAUCGUACAAAGAAAUACAAAACAACCGUCAAUUCUAUUUUUACAUGAUUUAUAGUAAUUACAAAUAGUUUUGAAAGCCACAUUUAUCUAAAUAGCAAAGUAUAAUGGAAUUAUAGGAAUUAAUCGGAAACUUUUAUCAUUAUAUUAAAAAAAACGAACAAUACAAUAUUAUCUUAUGUCAUAACGUAAUAUAGCAGUAUAACGUAUUGCAGCUUUGCGUUCCUGGUAGUUCCGGGUCCAUUUUCGGAAAACGACUAUCAGAGGGCCAUCACAUUGUAUGUCAGACGUGCUGUAAUGACACAGACAUAUGUAAUAUGAAGAGUUCAUGCGUAACUAACGUUGCAAAUACCUCGUCCACAGGACACAGUACUGGUAAUAUAUAUGCAUUCCCUUUUCACUUAUGCUUUGAUCAAUCAUUCAAAAACAGCUGUACUUGUGAAUGCCGAUUGAACAGAAAACUGACUGACAAAUCAUUUAUACCACAACAUCUUGAAAUGAUGUGUCAUGA
Molecule: long non-coding RNA, 4784 nt
Filed under: Mytilus galloprovincialis (Mediterranean mussel)
Lineage: Eukaryota; Metazoa; Mollusca; Bivalvia; Mytilida; Mytilidae
Source: RNAcentral